AUGGACCAGUUCCACGACAGGCAGCACGUGCGGCUGCGGAGCCGCGUGCUCGGCACGUACCUCCACGCCGACCACGACGGGGAGCGCGUCUCCCUCAGCCGGCGCCGCGACUCGCUCAACGCGGCGUGGGUGGUGCACAUCCACCAACGCGGCGACGGCCCGUACCUGCUCCUCCACAGCGCCGCCUACGGCCGCUACCUCGGCACCACGUUCAAGCCGGCGGCGCUCGGCCACCACGGCUGCCGCACCGAGCAGCGCGACUACAACGACGAGCCGGACUUGAUGGCCGUCAUGUGGAAGGCCUCCGAGGCGGGCUUCGACAACGUCGUCCUGCUCCGCAACGUCGCCGGCCGCUACCUCCGCGCCAACGGCAGGUACCUCCCCUGGAACACCGGCGUCACCGUCGACAACAUAGGCAACAUCAGCGCCAUGAUGUACUGGACCGUCGAGGACAUCCCCGACAGAGAGGGCCCGCCAGGCCUCCCAGGCCCGAUCCACGUGAGUUCGCCAUGA
RNAcentral lists this ribosomal RNA (513 nucleotides) under Triticum aestivum (bread wheat). Its description in RNAcentral is "partial small subunit ribosomal RNA". Lineage: Eukaryota; Viridiplantae; Streptophyta; Magnoliopsida; Poales; Poaceae. The record is from RNAcentral.